Folsomia candida is the source of this 934-nucleotide long non-coding RNA. RefSeq lists it as uncharacterized. Lineage: Eukaryota; Metazoa; Arthropoda; Collembola; Entomobryomorpha; Isotomidae. The transcript is spliced from 2 exons. The record is from RefSeq and is a predicted model, not a curated record.
UCUGGGUCCCUAACUGACUAGAUUUGACUGGCGUACUCUCUGAUAACCUCGUGAACCUAUUCUGUGUGUAAUCGGUGCUAUUUCGGUCUUUCCAUGAUAUCCAAAUCCUCCCAUAUUAUUACAAAAUUACCCCUUAAAAAUUACAAACUUAAUUUAAAUAUGGUGCACAUUUGUUAACACAUAUUUUGGUAUGGGGUAUUUUUUAGACAAGAAUGUAGGUUAUGCAUGGGACUAAAAAAAUAUUCUGCAUAAAAAUAUUUGUCCAAAAAUAUGAACCACAAAUUUAAAUUGAAUUUGUAAUUUUUAAGGGAAAAUUUGGUAAUAUUGUGGGAGGUUUUGGAUAUCGUGGAAAGACCGGAAUAGCACGAGUACACCCAGAACAGAUUCACAAGGUUAUCAGGGAUAACGCCAGUCAAAUCUGGUCAGCUAGGGACCCAGAAUUUUGCGGAUAAGGAAAAAUGCCGGGAACUUGGCUUAGCCGGCUAGCAGUCCUGACCUAAAUCCCAUGAAGAAUUUUUGGGCCAACUUCUCGCGUCGGGUGGGCGUCAAUUUCGAACCAAAAAGGGAUUGGAGCAAAUGAUGCAUGGCGGAUGGGCAAAUAUCCUGCUGGAGACCCUUCAGCACUUCAAUAACUCAAUGAAGCGACGAAUAUUCGCGUUAAUUCUAGCUAAGAAAGGUUUUACCAAAUACUAGAAUAAGUUUCAAGGGUACUGACUCCCUUAAAAUUAACUGUUUAAAUGUUUAAAUUUCAUAUCUCUUACUUUUGAGACAGUCGAUUUUGACUAAUUUUGUAAGAUUGCAUAUAAAUUUCUUGAUUUAAGUCAAAUCUCAAUGAAACUUGGCAUGAACUUGUAGCAAUACCUGAGCUAUAUUAUAAUAAAACUUUGGGCCCCAGGACCAAGCUAUUAAGAAAUAGUAGAAUUUUCCAAAACUA